CCUACGGGACGCAGCAGUGAGGAAUAUUGGUCAAUGGCCGCAGGGCUGAACCAGCCAAGUCGCGUGAGGGAUGACGGUCCUAUGGAUUGUAAACCUCUUUUGUCAGGGAGCAACGGGCGCCACGUGUGGCGCUCUGCGAGUACCUGCAGAAAAAGCAUCGGCUAACUACUUGCCAGCAGCCGCGGUAAUACGGAGGAUGCGAGCGUUAUCCGGCUUUAUUGGGUUUAAAGGGUGCGCAGCCGGAAUGUCAAGUCAGCGGUAA
This 262-nucleotide ribosomal RNA is filed under the name uncultured bacterium. RNAcentral describes it as "partial 16S ribosomal RNA". It matches the Rfam family "Bacterial small subunit ribosomal RNA", at positions 338 to 597 of the family's 1533-position model. The record is from RNAcentral.